UACGUAGGGGGCAAGCGUUGUCCGGAUUUAUUGGGCGUAAAGAGCGUGUAGGCGGUUAUACAGGUCCGCUGUGAAAACUGGAGGCUUAACCUCCAGACGUCGGUGGAAACCGUAUAACUAGAGUCCGGAAGAGGAGAGUGGAAUUCCUGGUGUAGCGGUGAAAUGCGCAGAUAUCAGGAAGAACACCCGUGGCGAAGGCGGCUCUCUGGGACGGUACUGACGCUUAGACGCGAAAGCGUGGGGAGCGAACAGG
Molecule: ribosomal RNA, 253 nt
Filed under: uncultured bacterium
Lineage: Bacteria
Description: partial 16S ribosomal RNA
Rfam family: Bacterial small subunit ribosomal RNA
Source: RNAcentral